RNAcentral lists this ribosomal RNA (500 nucleotides) under uncultured bacterium. RNAcentral's name for it is "partial 16S ribosomal RNA". It matches the Rfam family "Bacterial small subunit ribosomal RNA", at positions 30 to 523 of the family's 1533-position model. The record is from RNAcentral.
AUUGAACGCUGGCGGCAGGCCUAACACAUGCAAGUCGAGCGGAUGAGGGUAGCUUGCUAUCUGAUUCAGCGGCGGACGGGUGAGUAAUGCCUAGGAAUCUGCCUGGUAGUGGGGGACAACGCUUUGAAAGGAACGCUAAUACCGCAUACGUCCUACGGGAGAAAGUGGGGGAUCUUCGGACCUCACCCUAUCAGAUGAGCCUAGGUACGAUUAGCUAGUUGGUGAGGUAAAGGCUAACCAAGGCGACGAUGGUUAACUGGUAUGAGAGGAUGAUCAGUCACACUGGAACUGAGACACGGUCCAGAGUCCUACGGGAGGCAGCAGUGGGGAAUAUUGGACAAUGGGCGAAAGCCUGAUCCAGCCAUGCCGCGUGUGUGAAGAAGGUCUUCGGAUUGUAAAGCACUUUAAGUUGGGAGGAAGGGCAGUAAGUUAAUACCUUGCUGUUUUGACGUUACCAACAGAAUAAGCACCGGCGAACUUCGUGCCAGCAGCCGCCGUAA